This 3029-nucleotide ribosomal RNA is filed under the name Klebsiella quasipneumoniae. RNAcentral describes it as "23S ribosomal RNA". It matches the Rfam family "Bacterial large subunit ribosomal RNA". Lineage: Bacteria; Pseudomonadati; Pseudomonadota; Gammaproteobacteria; Enterobacterales; Enterobacteriaceae. The record is from RNAcentral.
CCGACUAAUGUUGAAAAAUUAGCGGAUGACUUGUGGCUGGGGGUGAAAGGCCAAUCAAACCGGGAGAUAGCUGGUUCUCCCCGAAAGCUAUUUAGGUAGCGCCUCGUGAACUCAUCUUCGGGGGUAGAGCACUGUUUCGGCUAGGGGGUCAUCCCGACUUACCAACCCGAUGCAAACUACGAAUACCGAAGAAUGUUAUCACGGGAGACACACGGCGGGUGCUAACGUCCGUCGUGAAGAGGGAAACAACCCAGACCGCCAGCUAAGGUCCCAAAGUCAUGGUUAAGUGGGAAACGAUGUGGGAAGGCACAGACAGCCAGGAUGUUGGCUUAGAAGCAGCCAUCAUUUAAAGAAAGCGUAAUAGCUCACUGGUCGAGUCGGCCUGCGCGGAAGAUGUAACGGGGCUAAACCAUGCACCGAAGCUGCGGCAGCGACACGAUGUGUUGUUGGGUAGGGGAGCGUUCUGUAAGCCUGCGAAGGUGNUGUGAACUCGAAGAGUAGGGCGGGACACGUGGUAUCCUGUCUGAAUAUGGGGGGACCAUCCUCCAAGGCUAAAUACUCCUGACUGACCGAUAGUGAACCAGUACCGUGAGGGAAAGGCGAAAAGAACCCCGGCGAGGGGAGUGAAAAAGAACCUGAAACCGUGUACGUACAAGCAGUGGGAGCACCUUUAUGGUGUGACUGCGUACCUUUUGUAUAAUGGGUCAGCGACUUAUAUUCUGUAGCAAGGUUAACCGUAUAGGGGAGCCGCAGGGAAACCGAGUCUUAACUGGGCGUUAAGUUGCAGGGUAUAGACCCGAAACCCGGUGAUCUAGCCAUGGGCAGGUUGAAGGUUGGGUAACACUAACUGGAGGACCGAACCGACUAAUGUUGAAAAAUUAGCGGAUGACUUGUGGCUGGGGGUGAAAGGCCAAUCAAACCGGGAGAUAGCUGGUUCUCCCCGAAAGCUAUUUAGGUAGCGCCUCGUGAACUCAUCUUCGGGGGUAGAGCACUGUUUCGGCUAGGGGGUCAUCCCGACUUACCAACCCGAUGCAAACUACGAAUACCGAAGAAUGUUAUCACGGGAGACACACGGCGGGUGCUAACGUCCGUCGUGAAGAGGGAAACAACCCAGACCGCCAGCUAAGGUCCCAAAGUCAUGGUUAAGUGGGAAACGAUGUGGGAAGGCACAGACAGCCAGGAUGUUGGCUUAGAAGCAGCCAUCAUUUAAAGAAAGCGUAAUAGCUCACUGGUCGAGUCGGCCUGCGCGGAAGAUGUAACGGGGCUAAACCAUGCACCGAAGCUGCGGCAGCGACACUAUGUGUUGUUGGGUAGGGGAGCGUUCUGUAAGCCUGCGAAGGUGGCCUGUGAGGGUCGCUGGAGGUAUCAGAAGUGCGAAUGCUGACAUAAGUAACGAUAAAGCGGGUGAAAAGCCCGCUCGCCGGAAGACCAAGGGUUCCUGUCCAACGUUAAUCGGGGCAGGGUGAGUCGACCCCUAAGGCGAGGCCGAAAGGCGUAGUCGAUGGGAAACAGGUUAAUAUUCCUGUACUUGGUGUUACUGCGAAGGGGGGACGGAGAAGGCUAUGUUAGCCGGGCGACGGUUGUCCCGGUUUAAGCAUGUAGGCUGNUUAUCCAGGCAAAUCCGGAUAAUCAAGGCUGAGGUGUGAUGACGAGGCACUACGGUGCUGAAGUAACAAAUGCCCUGCUUCCAGGAAAAGCCUCUAAGCAUCAGGUAACAUCAAAUCGUACCCCAAACCGACACAGGUGGUCAGGUAGAGAAUACCAAGGCGCUUGAGAGAACUCGGGUGAAGGAACUAGGCAAAAUGGUGCCGUAACUUCGGGAGAAGGCACGCUGGUGUGUAGGUGAAGCCCCUGCGGGUGGAGCUGAGACCAGUCGAAGAUACCAGCUGGCUGCAACUGUUUAUUAAAAACACAGCACUGUGCAAACACGAAAGUGGACGUAUACGGUGUGACGCCUGCCCGGUGCCGGAAGGUUAAUUGAUGGGGUUAUCCGUAAGGAGAAGCUCUUGAUCGAAGCCCCGGUAAACGGCGGCCGUAACUAUAACGGUCCUAAGGUAGCGAAAUUCCUUGUCGGGUAAGUUCCGACCUGCACGAAUGGCGUAAUGAUGGCCAGGCUGUCUCCACCCGAGACUCAGUGAAAUUGAACUCGCUGUGAAGAUGCAGUGUACCCGCGGCAAGACGGAAAGACCCCGUGAACCUUUACUAUAGCUUGACACUGAACAUUGAGCCUUGAUGUGUAGGAUAGGUGGGAGGCUUUGAAGCGUGGACGCCAGUCUGCGUGGAGCCAACCUUGAAAUACCACCCUUUAAUGUUUGAUGUUCUAACGUUGGCCCCUGACCGGGGUUGCGGACAGUGUCUGGUGGGUAGUUUGACUGGGGCGGUCUCCUCCCAAAGCGUAACGGAGGAGCACGAAGGUUAGCUAAUCCUGGUCGGACAUCAGGAGGUUAGUGCAAUGGCAUAAGCUAGCUUGACUGCGAGCGUGACGGCGCGAGCAGGUGCGAAAGCAGGUCAUAGUGAUCCGGUGGUUCUGAAUGGAAGGGCCAUCGCUCAACGGAUAAAAGGUACUCCGGGGAUAACAGGCUGAUACCGCCCAAGAGUUCAUAUCGACGGCGGUGUUUGGCACCUCGAUGUCGGCUCAUCACAUCCUGGGGCUGAAGUAGGUCCCAAGGGUAUGGCUGUUCGCCAUUUAAAGUGGUACGCGAGCUGGGUUUAGAACGUCGUGAGACAGUUCGGUCCCUAUCUGCCGUGGGCGCUGGAGAAUUGAGGGGGGCUGCUCCUAGUACGAGAGGACCGGAGUGGACGCAUCACUGGUGUUCGGGUUGUCAUGCCAAUGGCACUGCCCGGUAGCUAAAUGCGGAAGAGAUAAGUGCUGAAAGCAUCUAAGCACGAAACUUGCCCCGAGAUGAGUUCUCCCUGAGACUUUAAGUCUCCUGAAGGAACGUUGAAGACGACGACGUUGAUAGGCCGGGUGUGUAAGCGCAGCGAUGCGUUGAGCUAACCGGUACUAAUGAACCGUGAGGCUUAACCUU